Molecule: ribosomal RNA, 306 nt
Filed under: uncultured bacterium
Lineage: Bacteria
Description: partial 16S ribosomal RNA
Rfam family: Bacterial small subunit ribosomal RNA
Source: RNAcentral
GACAGCAGCAGCCGCGGGAAUACGUAGGUCCCGAGCGUUGUCCGGAUUUAUUGGGCGUAAAGCGAGCGCAGGCGGUUAGAUAAGUCUGAAGUUAAAGGCUGUGGCUUAACCAUAGUACGCUUUGGAAACUGUUUAACUUGAGUGCAAGAGGGGAGAGUGGAAUUCCAUGUGUAGCGGUGAAAUGCGUAGAUAUAUGGAGGAACACCGGUGGCGAAAGCGGCUCUCUGGCUUGUAACUGACGCUGAGGCUCGAAAGCGUGGGGAGCAAACAGGAUUAGAUACCCCCGUAGUCCCUGUCUCUUAUACC